UACGUAGGGUGCAAGCGUUAAUCGGAAUUACUGGGCGUAAAGCGUGCGCAGGCGGCUUUGCAAGACAGAUGUGAAAUCCCCGGGCUCAACCUGGGAACUGCAUUUGUGACUGCAUGGCUAGAGUGCGGCAGAGGGGGAUGGAAUUCCGCGUGUAGCAGUGAAAUGCGUAGAGAUGCGGAGGAACACCGAUGGCGAAGGCAGCCCCCUGGGCUAGCACUGACGCUCAGGCACGAAAGCGUGGGGAGCAAACAGG
This 253-nucleotide ribosomal RNA is filed under the name uncultured bacterium. Its description in RNAcentral is "partial 16S ribosomal RNA". It matches the Rfam family "Bacterial small subunit ribosomal RNA", at positions 524 to 776 of the family's 1533-position model. The record is from RNAcentral.